This 468-nucleotide ribosomal RNA is filed under the name uncultured bacterium. RNAcentral's name for it is "partial 16S ribosomal RNA". It matches the Rfam family "Bacterial small subunit ribosomal RNA", at positions 28 to 507 of the family's 1533-position model. The record is from RNAcentral.
GACGAACGCUGGCGGCGUGCUUAACACAUGCAAGUCGAACGGAAAGGCCCUGCUUUUGUGGGGUGCUCGAGUGGCGAACGGGUGAGUAACACGUGAGUAACCUGCCCUUGACUUUGGGAUAACUUCAGGAAACUGGGGCUAAUACCGGAUAGGAGCUCCUGCUGCAUGGUGGGGGUUGGAAAGUUUCGGCGGUUGGGGAUGGACUCGCGGCUUAUCAGCUUGUUGGUGGGGUAGUGGCUUACCAAGGCUUUGACGGGUAGCCGGCCUGAGAGGGUGACCGGCCACAUUGGGACUGCGAGACGGCCCAGACUGCUACGGUGGGCAGCAGUGGGGAAUAUUGCACAAUGGGCGCAAGCCUGAUGCAGCAACGCCGCGUGCGGGAUGACGGCCUUCUGGUUGUAAACCGCUUUCGCCUGUGACGAAGCGUGAGUGACGGUAAUGGGUAAAGAAGCACCGGCUAACUACGUG